UACAGAGGGUGCGAGCGUUGUCCGGAAUCACUGGGCGUAAAGGGCGCGUAGGCGGCUUGAUAAGCGUGCGGUGAAAGCCCGGGGCUCAACCCCGGGUCGGCCGUGCGAACUGUCGAGCUGGAGCACUGUAGAGGCAGGUGGAAUUCCGGGUGUAGCGGUGGAAUGCGCAGAUAUCAGGAAGAACACCAAUGGCGAAGGCAGCUCUCUGGGACGGUACUGACGCUGAGACGCGAAAGCGUGGGGAGCGAACGGG
RNAcentral lists this ribosomal RNA (253 nucleotides) under uncultured bacterium. RNAcentral describes it as "partial 16S ribosomal RNA". It matches the Rfam family "Bacterial small subunit ribosomal RNA", at positions 524 to 776 of the family's 1533-position model. The record is from RNAcentral.